RNAcentral lists this ribosomal RNA (253 nucleotides) under uncultured bacterium. RNAcentral's name for it is "partial 16S ribosomal RNA". It matches the Rfam family "Bacterial small subunit ribosomal RNA", at positions 524 to 776 of the family's 1533-position model. The record is from RNAcentral.
UACGAAGGGUGCAAGCGUUAAUCGGAAUUACUGGGCGUAAAGCGUGCGCAGGCGGUUAUGCAAGACAGAGGUGAAAUCCCCGGGCUCAACCUGGGAACUGCAUUUGUGACUGCAAGGCUAGAGUACGGUAGAGGGGGAUGGAAUUCCGCGUGUAGCAGUGAAAUGCGUAGAUAUGCGGAGGAACACCGAUGGCGAAGGCAAUCCCCUGGACCUGUACUGACGCUCAUGCACGAAAGCGUGGGGAGCAAACAGG